This 1042-nucleotide long non-coding RNA is filed under the name Meriones unguiculatus (Mongolian gerbil). Its description in RNAcentral is "lncRNA (ENSMUGG00000012086.1)". The record is from RNAcentral. Lineage: Eukaryota; Metazoa; Chordata; Mammalia; Rodentia; Muridae.
GUUUCAGGUUAGCUUGGAGUCACAACCAGACUCAAAACAAACAAAUAAAUAAAUAAAAAUUCAAAGAGAGUUUUUAACGGUAUAACAGAACCCUAUACCUAGUCAGGAGCAACCACUCGUUCACAAUUCUUGCUAAAUAUUAGCUAGUUGUAAAUAGCUAAUAUUCAUUCUUUCUAAUGCCACUUAAAUUUAUAUAAAUCCUAUACUAUGGCUCACCAACAAAGGCAAAACGGGCAACUCGUCCUUCAUCCUGAACCCUGCGCGUUCCAACGCCCAGAAACGUCCAGACACCGGGUGUGGUCUUUUCCAAAAUCAUUUAAGCAACUUUGUUCCAAGAGGCCAGUGCCACGCAGCUUCCGUUUCUAGACUACAUUUCCCAGAAACACGCGCGACGCCACACGACUUCCCGCUCGCACUUCCUUCGAAGGCAGCGAUUCCCCGAGGACACAGAGCCUACCGUGGAGGGGGCUUGUGCCCGGGCUGUCAGUCCUGCGUGUCGUGAGCGUUUCAGUCCGAGUUUGUGUCUGUGUCUAGGAAACUCGCGCACGCAAUCCCAAAUGCGGAGCCAGCGUCCCGGGCCGCCUCGGGCGGUGGGCUGGCGGGAAGCCGAGGUCGGGCGCCAUGUUCCCCGCCAGUUCCCAUCGCGGACUACAUUUCCCAGAAACGUCCGCGAAGUCCGGGCGGCCUCUUCUUUUGCCCGCGGGACCCUCUUCGUCCGGGCACGGGAAAGUGCACGGUGAGCGGCCUAGGCCCUCGUUAAGGCUCCCCAGGUGCGGCCCUGGGCUCCGAAGGGAAGUCCCAGCCAGGAUCCGAGGCGUCAGCUCUGUGGGAGCUGCUCUAGCUGGCUUUGCACCUCCAGAGGAACCCAGUGGAGAAAAGAGGAAUGGCUGUGGACCAAGCCAAACAGAAGGCACCGUAACAGACAGGAAGUGAUGCGCCCAGGGAAGUAAGAGGAGGAUUACAGAAUAAGCUUGUCCUGCCUGACUGUGAAAUUGCUGAGGUACCAGUAUGAGCCACUCGGCUGACAAUAGAGACAGAGGGA